Molecule: ribosomal RNA, 620 nt
Filed under: Quaestus cantabricus
Lineage: Eukaryota; Metazoa; Arthropoda; Insecta; Coleoptera; Leiodidae
Description: partial 16S ribosomal RNA
Rfam family: Bacterial large subunit ribosomal RNA (bases 383-541)
Source: RNAcentral
GUCUUAUUGAUAAUAAUUUUAAGUCUAAUCUGCCCAGUGAUUUAUUAAAUGGCUGCAGUAUUUUAACUGUACAAAGGUAGCAUAAUAAUUAGUUUCUUAAUUAGGAACUGGAAUGAAAGAUUGAACGAGACAAUAACUGUCUUAAUAUAAAUUUAAGAAUUUUAUUUUUAAGUUAAAAAGCUUAAAUUUUUUUAAAAGACGAGAAGACCCUAUAGAAUUUUAUAUUAUUUUUUUGUUUAGAUUUUAGAAUUUAAAUUUUAAAUUUUAUUAAGAUUAUUUAGUUGGGGUGAUUGAAAAAUUUAUUUAACUUUUUUUAAAGAUUUACAUUUAUUUAUGUUUUAUUGAUCCAAUAUUUUUGAUUAUAAGAUUAAAUUACCUUAGGGAUAACAGCGUAAUUUUUUUAGAGAGUUCUUAUCGAUAAAAGAGAUUGCGACCUCGAUGUUGGAUUAAAGUUAAUUUUUGAUGUAGAAGUUAAAAUAUUAGGUCUGUUCGACCUUUAAAACUUUACAUGAUCUGAGUUUAAAUCGGCGUGAGCCAGGUUGGAUUCUAUCUUUAAAUAGUUAUUAUGUUUUAGUACGAAAGGACCAAACAUGAUUUAUAUUAAAUUUAAGAGAAUGAUA